AUGCAACAACCCCCAAAUUCUCCCGACUUGAACGCUCUUGAACUUGGGUACUUCAGAUCACUCGAGUCUCUAACGGACUGCAGAGUGCCUACCACUAUCCCGCAGCUAAUUCAAGGGGUCCAGGAAGAAUUCAAUGACUAUGAAGUUGGAAAACUGAAUAGAAUCUUCCUAACCUUGCAAACAUGUAUGGUGGAAAUAAUGAAUCAUGCAGGAGGAAAUGCUUACAAAAUUCUGCAUGUGACAAAGCAAGAUUUGAAAGGCUUGGAAUUCUACCUCCUAGUGUUCAUUUCCCCCACGAAGUGUAUUACAACGCCUUAA
RNAcentral lists this ribosomal RNA (318 nucleotides) under Triticum aestivum (bread wheat). RNAcentral's name for it is "partial small subunit ribosomal RNA". The record is from RNAcentral. Lineage: Eukaryota; Viridiplantae; Streptophyta; Magnoliopsida; Poales; Poaceae.